This 380-nucleotide ribosomal RNA is filed under the name uncultured eukaryote. RNAcentral describes it as "partial 18S ribosomal RNA". It matches the Rfam family "Eukaryotic small subunit ribosomal RNA", at positions 592 to 976 of the family's 1831-position model. The record is from RNAcentral.
CAAUAGCGUAUAUUAAAGUUGUUGCGGUUAAAAAGCUCGUAGUUGGAUUUCUGCUGAGAACGACCGGUCCGCCCUUUGGGUGUGUAUCUGGCUCUUUCUUGGCAUCUUCUUGGUGAACGUUGCUGCACUUGACUGUGUGGAGCGCUACCCAGGACUUUUACUUUGAGGAAAUUAGAGUGUUUCAAGCAGGCAUACGCCUUGAAUACAUUAGCAUGGAAUAAUAAGAUAGGACCUCGGUUCUAUUUUGUUGGAUUCUAGAGCUGAGGUAAUGAUUAAUAGGGAUAGUUGGGGGCAUUCGUAUUUAACUGUCAGAGGUGAAUUUCUUGGAUUUGUUAAAGACGGACUACUGCGAAAGCAUUUGCCAAGGAUGUUUUCAUUGA